GCCCGGGUGGUGAAAUUGGUAGACGCAGCGGACUUAAAAUCCGCCGGCCGCAAGGUCAUACGGGUUCAAGUCCCGUCCUGGGCACCA
This 87-nucleotide transfer RNA is filed under the name Pelomonas sp. V22. RNAcentral describes it as "tRNA-Leu". It matches the Rfam family "tRNA". Rfam says of the family: Transfer RNA (tRNA) molecules are approximately 80 nucleotides in length. Their secondary structure includes four short double-helical elements and three loops (D, anti-codon, and T loops). The record is from RNAcentral. Lineage: Bacteria; Pseudomonadati; Pseudomonadota; Betaproteobacteria; Burkholderiales; Sphaerotilaceae.